AUUAUAAAAACAAUACAGAUGAAAAAUUAACAAAUAAAUACAUGACUAUUGCAGUACAAUAAACAUAUAUUUUACUUUGCAAUGUAUUAUUGUACAGGGUAUUUGUGCAGAAAAAGAAAAUGUACAAAGCAGACAUUACAUAAUCUAAUUUCCAUUCCAACUACUGACAAACAGGAACAAAAUUUCCCUUUCAAAGUGAAGCAAUUUGUUUUACAAACAUCCAAAAUUAGCAUAAACAGGCAUUUCUACUUAGUUACAAUGCAUGCUAGUUAUUCAAAAAAAAAAAAUCUACACUAGAGUCCAAUUCAAUACAAAGCUGAUUAGUUUAGAGGAAUGAGAAAACCAAAACAAAUCCUGAACAAAUAAAUAAAAAAAGUGAGCUCAGAAAUUCUGUACAAGGCUUUUUUAGAAUAUCAAUGUACAAAACAUCACUUAAAAACCUUUGUAGCUUAAAUUGCUGUUACAAAUACACUGCUUUAAGCAAGUAGUUGUCAUUAGCGUACAUUAUGUGAACACUAUGGACAAAUAUGGUCACUUCUGUUUCUGAGGUCAGGUGGAGGAGAGAACCAAAAAGUCCACUGGAGGGGAAGUUCUCAAUUGAGUCCUUAAUUAGUGCUUUUAUAAAAACACAUUUCAGCAAGACAUUUAAAAUCCAAAUUUAAAAAAUGAUACCAUGUUUUGUUUCCCAUUAAUGCAGUCAUACUCUGUUUCUUUGUUCUAUUGGCACCGAUUCUACUGAACCAGACUCUCUCACAGCGUUAUAUGAAGCAAAACUCAUUUGCCAACAAAUCCCCCACGACAGAAAGAAACCAAACACUUUCUAUGCACUACAAGUGGCUAUCAGUGAAAGAACACAUUUGUCAAAAUUCUGUUUUAUUUUUUUUGUAUAGGUCCUGCUUCUCUUGUACCAGCUCUUGAAGUUGAGACUGCGCCUCAUGCAAGAACCACUUGUAGGAAUAUUCAACAUACAUUGAUGUAAAAGCAUAGCACAUUGGUAGCCGAGAGGAUGUAGAACAUGCCAUAUUGUCCCAGGAUCAAUUCAACCCUUGGGACCCACAUGUCAAACCCCUUUCUACCAACUCCCUAAUUAUGGCAAAAAAGCCAAAGAAAGAAGUUAGGAGUGUGAGGAAGUUAGGAGAAUUUGCCAUCAACUAUUUCCUUAGCUGUGAUAAUAAACUAUAGGGAUGAUUUUGUGAAUGAAACUCACCCACAGAGCAGAACCAAAGCUUCAUAAUUCAACUUGGGUGUUCUGAUGAUCACAAAAUGAAAAAGGAGGUAAUUAUCAGGCUGAUUUUCAUGAUAAAUUUGUGCAGUUUUCUUGAUACUGACACAUAAAAGAAUACCUGCCCAUAAAUAAAUAUAGGAUGUUAAGAGUGAGGAUACCGAAACGUUCUUGCAUGAGGUCCACUCUUGUGUAUAAGCUUCAUCUUGUGGCUGUCUGGGUUAACUUCACCAAUGUCUACACACCACACAAUUAACGCCUGUGCCUUUCUAUUAGAGCAGCUCAAGUCAAUAUACUGAUUAGAGUAAUGCCCACAGGCAUUGAAAUGGCACUUUAAACUAUACUGCCUAUUCUGAAAAAUGCUACUUUUUUGUUGUUUUUGUUAUAUAAUGAGAUCACUUUAAUUAUGAAUUUCUCUUAACUUGAGCUUGAAGGGUAGAACAUUUUUUUUUUGUAUGCAGCCCUUUCCUCCCAUGGGAGGUGAUGGUCCGACUGAGGACAGACAGCAGAUCUGAAAACACAGACAGACUGAGGUCUCUCAGAUUUGGCAAAACACAGUUUAAAACAGAUUCUUCAACUUUAAGGUCUAGAAAGGCAGACUAUAUGAUCUGAGGUUAUUGUGGAUUUGGAGAGUCCAAAGCGGCCACUCAAAUGUUUUUGUCACAUCAGAGAUGACUAUUAACACUGCACUUUUGAAAUACAGUGUUACUGAUUUCCUUUUUUUGCUUUUACAUUAAGUGUGAUCUUAAGAACCAGUGAGGCAGCAUGUCAUGUUUCAGCUCACCUCCGUCUCUAAUCAGUCGUGAGUGUCUUUCUUUUGAGAGGAGUUUUGGGACACUUGUCUGUGUGUGUGUGUGUGUGUGUGUGUGUGUGUGUGUGUGUGUCUGUGUGAAUGUUUGUGUGUGUGUGUGUUGUGGCG
Molecule: long non-coding RNA, 2141 nt
Organism: Notothenia coriiceps (black rockcod)
Lineage: Eukaryota; Metazoa; Chordata; Actinopteri; Perciformes; Nototheniidae
Exons: 3
Source: RefSeq, a predicted model, not a curated record